This 73-nucleotide transfer RNA is filed under the name Ailuropoda melanoleuca (giant panda). It matches the Rfam family "tRNA". From Rfam's summary of the family: Transfer RNA (tRNA) molecules are approximately 80 nucleotides in length. Their secondary structure includes four short double-helical elements and three loops (D, anti-codon, and T loops). Further hydrogen bonds mediate the characteristic L-shaped molecular structure. tRNAs have two regions of fundamental functional importance: the anti-codon, which is responsible for specific mRNA codon recognition, and the 3' end, to which the tRNAs corresponding amino acid is attached (by aminoacyl-tRNA synthetases). tRNAs cope with the degeneracy of the genetic code in two manners: having more than one tRNA (with a specific anti-codon) for a particular amino acid; and 'wobble' base-pairing, i.e. permitting non-standard base-pairing at the 3rd anti-codon position. The record is from Rfam by way of RNAcentral. Lineage: Eukaryota; Metazoa; Chordata; Mammalia; Carnivora; Ursidae.
ACCUGGUUGACUCAGUCGGUGAAGCGUGUGACUCUUGAGCUCAGGGUUGUGGGUUCAAGCCCCACACUGGGUG